RNAcentral lists this ribosomal RNA (390 nucleotides) under Triticum aestivum (bread wheat). RNAcentral's name for it is "partial small subunit ribosomal RNA". The record is from RNAcentral. Lineage: Eukaryota; Viridiplantae; Streptophyta; Magnoliopsida; Poales; Poaceae.
AUGACGAACGUUCUUUUACUCUCUCUCUCUCUCUCUCUCUCUCUCUCUCUCUCUCUCUCUCUCUCUCUCUCUCUCUCUCUCUCGUGCUGCACGAACAUUCACAUGCAUUCACGUAUAAAGACAUGGAUCGAACGUGUAGGUAGAUGGAGACGCGACAGGUGGUCGAGAGUUCUCACUGCUCAUGCAUGCACAAAAGCGAGACACCGCACAUGCAUGGAUAGACGGGUGCCAAGCUUCACUCACGCUUCUCACCGUGUACCAGUGUAUGCAUGUACCCUGGCGAGCUACUUUUACUACUACUCGUUGUUACGACCACCACGUGCACGUGUGUGGAGCACGAAGGUUGAUGGAAUGGAAGAUGGAUGGGGGAGGGGGGCGCACCGCGACUAG